This 252-nucleotide ribosomal RNA is filed under the name uncultured bacterium. RNAcentral describes it as "partial 16S ribosomal RNA". It matches the Rfam family "Bacterial small subunit ribosomal RNA", at positions 524 to 776 of the family's 1533-position model. The record is from RNAcentral.
UACGUAGGGGGCUAGCGUUAUCCGGAAUUACUGGGCGUAAAGGGUGCGUAGGUGGUUUCUUAAGUCAGAGGUGAAAGGCUACGGCUCAACCGUAGUAAGCCUUUGAAACUGGGGAACUUGAGUGCAGGGGAGGAGAGUGGAAUUCCUAGUGUAGCGGUGAAAUGCGUAGAUAUUAGGAGGAACACCAGUUGCGAAGGCGGCUCUCUGGACUGUAACUGACACUGAGGCACGAAAGCGUGGGGAGCAAACAGG